Molecule: non-coding RNA, 187 nt
Filed under: Thermostichus vulcanus str. 'Rupite'
Lineage: Bacteria; Bacillati; Cyanobacteriota; Cyanophyceae; Thermostichales; Thermostichaceae
Description: 6S RNA
Rfam family: 6S / SsrS RNA
About the family: E. coli 6S RNA was the first non coding RNA to be sequenced, but its function was unknown until recently. It consists of 184 nucleotides that fold into an extended hairpin structure with a large single-stranded internal bulge. The 6S RNA specifically associates with RNA polymerase holoenzyme containing the sigma70 specificity factor.
Source: RNAcentral
AGGAUUCUGUGGCGUUGGUGACUGCCGUUAUGUUUUUCUGAUCUAUACCUUUCGACAAUUAGGAUGGGUUGUGGAUGUGAGAGCAGUAGGCCAAAUUCAGUUUGGAAACUAUCAAGAAUCAUCCCCGAUAUCCUAAACUGGAUUCUCCAGGUCGAAAACCACGGUAAAACGGCGCAAUAGAAUCUCC